Molecule: ribosomal RNA, 207 nt
Filed under: uncultured bacterium
Lineage: Bacteria
Description: partial 16S ribosomal RNA
Rfam family: Bacterial small subunit ribosomal RNA
Source: RNAcentral
AGCGUAGACGGCGAAGCAAGUCUGAAGUGAAAACCCAGGGCUCAACCCUGGGACUGCUUUGGAAACUGUUUUGCUAGAGUGUCGGAGAGGUAAGUGGAAUUCCUAGUGUAGCGGUGAAAUGCGUAGAUAUUAGGAGGAACACCAGUGGCGAAGGCGGCUUACUGGACGAUAACUGACGUUGAGGCUCGAAAGCGUGGGGAGCAAACA